ACACAUGCAAGUCGAGCGGAGAUAGUGUGCUUGCACACUAUUUUAGCGGCGAACGGGUGAGUAAUGCCUAGGAAUCUGCCUGGUAGUGGGGGAUAACGUUCGGAAACGGACGCUAAUACCGCAUACGUCCUACGGGAGAAAGCAGGGGACCUUCGGGCCUUGCGCUAUCAGAUGAGCCUAGGUCGGAUUAGCUAGUUGGUGAGGUAAUGGCUCACCAA
This 218-nucleotide ribosomal RNA is filed under the name Conticribra weissflogii. Its description in RNAcentral is "partial Bacterial small subunit ribosomal RNA". It matches the Rfam family "Bacterial small subunit ribosomal RNA", at positions 51 to 271 of the family's 1533-position model. Lineage: Eukaryota; Bacillariophyta; Thalassiosirophyceae; Thalassiosirales; Thalassiosiraceae. The record is from RNAcentral.